Molecule: long non-coding RNA, 610 nt
Organism: Phyllopteryx taeniolatus (common seadragon)
Lineage: Eukaryota; Metazoa; Chordata; Actinopteri; Syngnathiformes; Syngnathidae
Exons: 2
Source: RefSeq, a predicted model, not a curated record
AGGAAGUUGACACAAUGGACAGGUGUGUGUGGCUGUGUGGAACAGUGUUUUAUUGUUUGGGAUCUUAUUCUUGGAUUUUUUUUUUAAGGCAAGAAGCAGUACUUUAGUAAGGACUGCGGCCACCUGCAGCCCCGUCCUUGACCGACUUGUUGGAAGCGGGCCUCCUCACACCCGGGGAAGUGGCUCCAGAGUCGGGCUGUCGGUCACGUGAGUCCUGACGAGCGAGACACAGCGUCAAUUAGCAGACAAGAAUGCAAUCCUGCUCAUGUCAAGCAUCAAGAGUAGAAUGCACGCUUAAGUUGAAACUCUUCCUUAACCAAGGAAUCAUCAGCGUGAGCCACGGCAAAUAUCCAAUUUGACGUAUUUGUAUUUUUUCCAAAGGUUUGUCAUUUAUUGAUUACAAAUAUGUAUUUGUCCAUAUAUGCCAACAAUGCAUAGUGACAAGCAAAAUAUUUAAAUGCAAUUCCAUUAGGUGGCCGAAGGUGCAAUCAAAUCAAAUCAAAUCAAAUCAAAGUUAUUGCUUCCUGCAAGUAAUUCAGCUUUGUGUUGAAUUAAGGAGGCCCACAUUUCACACUCAGUCCGUUUGUGAGUAAAUUGAGACGAGAUCAUC